GGUGGUGAGCAUCCUGGCAAAAGUAAAGAGAUAGUACCCGAGGAUCAAGAAUCGAAGUACUCGAAAUUCGACUCUCGAAAUAGUGAGUAACUUUACUAUCGUCUUAAUUAUCUAAAGUGGUUUUUAUCUGAUUUUGUGAUUUUAUGGAAAAUGAGUUUAAAUGGUAAAUCUUUAUGUUUUAUAAGCAAAAUGUGAUUAAAUGAAAAUGAUUUUAUAAAAUUGUCUUGA
RNAcentral lists this long non-coding RNA (228 nucleotides) under Theobroma cacao (cacao). RNAcentral describes it as "long non-coding RNA (TCAC_LNC003093)". The record is from RNAcentral. Lineage: Eukaryota; Viridiplantae; Streptophyta; Magnoliopsida; Malvales; Malvaceae.